This is a long non-coding RNA of Gambusia affinis (western mosquitofish), 552 nucleotides long. RefSeq lists it as uncharacterized. NCBI's taxonomy places the organism in Eukaryota, Metazoa, Chordata, Actinopteri, Cyprinodontiformes, Poeciliidae. The transcript has 3 exons. The record is from RefSeq and is a predicted model, not a curated record.
AUAAUGUGUUUCUUACGGGUCCGCUUGGGCCACGCUUGAUGGAUGGCCUUACAGAAGCCGGGUCAAUUAGCCCAGGCUGAAUUUGCCUUCAUGUGGGCUGCAGACAGCACUGGGAGAGCCUCAACCUCUGUCACGCGGCCUGGCUGUAAUUAAUCACCAGCGCGAAGCCUUCUCACCUCACGCAGCCGCGCGCACAAACAGCCGAUUCUUACGUUUGGCCCAAAUUACAUCUCCACUCCUUUAAUCUGGCUAAUUGUCAGUAUGGUCGCCAGAGGAGUAAAAGGUUGUUAUAAAGCACCUUCCUGGCAUCAAACCGGUCUACUAGAGCAGCCUUCUCCAAGACCCGAAUAGAAGAGCUGAGCUUUUUCACCAGCAGUCAUUCAGCUCUGAAGAGGCCUGGUGACGAGCCGUUCAUUUAAGACAGGAACUCGGGGCAUGGAGGCAUCGUACAGAGACGUCACUCUGCGUUCACUGAAUACACUCCUGUGGACCGGACAAAAGCAGCAGGCUGACAGAUGAGGUUUCUGUCUGGGGAUCUCUGUGUUGCUUUAC